ACAGAGGUGGCAAGCGUUGUUCGGAAUUACUGGGCGUAAAGGGCGCGUAGGCGGUCUUGUAAGUCCUGUGUGAAAUCCCUCGGCUUAACUGAGGAACUGCACGGGAUACUGCGAGACUUGAGAUCGGGAGAGGGAAGCGGAAUUCCGGGUGUAGCGGUGAAAUGCGUAGAUAUCCGGAGGAACACCGGUGGCGAAGGCGGCUUCCUGGACCGACACUGACGCUGAGGCGCGAAAGCUAGGGGAGCAAACGGGAUUAGAUACCCCGGUAGUCCUAGCUGUAAACGAUGAGUGCUGGGUGUAGGGGGUAUUAACCCUCCUGUGCCGAAGCUAACGCAUUAAGCACUCCGCCUGGGGAGUACGGUCGCAAGGCUG
RNAcentral lists this ribosomal RNA (372 nucleotides) under uncultured bacterium. RNAcentral describes it as "bacterial SSU rRNA". It matches the Rfam family "Bacterial small subunit ribosomal RNA", at positions 525 to 896 of the family's 1533-position model. The record is from RNAcentral.